Mytilus trossulus (common blue mussel) is the source of this 1160-nucleotide long non-coding RNA. RefSeq lists it as uncharacterized. The record is from RefSeq and is a predicted model, not a curated record. Lineage: Eukaryota; Metazoa; Mollusca; Bivalvia; Mytilida; Mytilidae. The transcript has 6 exons.
UUUUAUUUUCAUUCUAUAACUGAUAUUUACUCUGAUACCAUACAUUUGUCUGAAGAGUAAAAAUGAUCCUGCUACAUAUAGUUGUUGGUUUGCUUGUGAUAUCAACAUACAUGCAUUCAGCUGAAUCAUGUUGUUGCAUGCCAGAGAAAUUUGAACUACACGAAUAUGUGGAAGAUAUCUUCACUUGGCCAUCAGCAAACAUAGAAACGGGCUUUGCAAAUAUUUCUUUUGACUUGGAAGUGAAAAAAUCUGUAUUUUUCUUCUAUGACGUGAAACUAAAUGGAAAAGACGUACCCACACCAACAUAUCUUUUUGAUCAUUCCUCGGGAUUUGUGUACGUAUAUGAUCUGAGGUCCAAAUAUUGUAAAAAGAUGCCUAUCGGGGGAAUGAACCCUGUAUGCGUACCAGCAAAUCAAUCUACAGACACCACACAUCUCGGCGCAGCAAAAUAAAUGAUACCUGUUAAGACAUAUCAGUCUACAGCUGGGAAUCAAACAACUAGUACCACAGUAACGAAAGAGAAAUGUUAUCUCAUCAGCUCCGAACUCAAUGACUCGGAGUAUCCAACAAGUUUGAGAAAACAAUUUUACGGUACGACAUUAGGGAUAAAGGAUAUGUCGGUCUUCAAAAUCCCCGCUAUUUGUAAGAAGAUCUUUUGGAAUACACAGGAAAUACCAGAGGUUUCCCGUCGUGUAUUUCAUCCAUUCUACUUAUAGAAAAAACGAAACGGUUAGAGACGGUACCGAUUGGAUGUCAAGAAGUUAUCAACAAUCAAGAAAACUUAGCAAUUUUAUGCAUCUAUUUUUACUAUGGUUUAAUGUUUUCUCUGUCGAGGUUCAUAUGAAUUAAAUAUAUCUAUCUUUGUCUCUUUGUCCAUUUUACACGUUAUCAUUCAAAUUUUAUAAGAGCUUGACCAUAUCAUUUUCAACGUCCUCUUGUUAGCAAUUUUUUAAAUGUUUCAUCAUGUUCAUAGUGAAUUUUGAACUAAAUACAGGCAUAUUGAUGCAUCACAGAAAGUUUUUUUUAAAUCAUUUUGGAACAAAACAUUUACGCAUAGGAUAGAACAAGUAAUGUGUCAAAGGUUGCUGCGCAUCACAUUUUUAAAUCAUGUCAUAGAUUUCAAAAAAUAGUUUAUUUAUGUAUUUAUCGCCUUCUAAAUA